This 460-nucleotide ribosomal RNA is filed under the name uncultured bacterium. Its description in RNAcentral is "partial 16S ribosomal RNA". It matches the Rfam family "Bacterial small subunit ribosomal RNA", at positions 338 to 795 of the family's 1533-position model. The record is from RNAcentral.
CCUACGGGUGGCAGCAGUGAGGAAUAUUGGUCAAUGGACGAGAGUCUGAACCAGCCAAGUAGCGUGAAGGAUGACUGCCCUAUGGGUUGUAAACUUCUUUUAUAUGGGAAUAAAAUGUUCCACGUGUGGGAUUUUGUAUGUACCAUAUGAAUAAGGAUCGGCUACCUCCGUGCCAGCAGCCGCGGUAAUACGGAGGAUCCGAGCGUUAUCCGGAUUUAUUGGGUUUAACGGGAGCGUAGGUGGAUUGUUAAGUCAGUUGUGAAAGUUUGCGGCUCAACCGUAAAAUUGCAGUUGAAACUGGCAGUCUUGAGUACAGUAGAGGUGGGCGGAAUUCGUGGUGUAGCGGUGAAAUGCUUAGAUAUCACGAAGAACUCCGAUUGCGAAGGCAGUUCACUGGACUGCAACUGACACUGAGGCUCGAAAGUGUGGGUAUCAAACAGGAUUAGAUACCCGUGUAGUC